This 459-nucleotide ribosomal RNA is filed under the name Bacillus velezensis. RNAcentral's name for it is "bacterial SSU rRNA". It matches the Rfam family "Bacterial small subunit ribosomal RNA", at positions 105 to 549 of the family's 1533-position model. The record is from RNAcentral. Lineage: Bacteria; Bacillati; Bacillota; Bacilli; Caryophanales; Bacillaceae.
GGUGAGUAACACGUGGGUAACCUGCCUGUAAGACUGGGAUAACUCCGGGAAACCGGGGCUAAUACCGGAUGGUUGUUUGAACCGCAUGGUUCAGACAUAAAAGGUGGCUUCGGCUACCACUUACAGAUGGACCCGCGGCGCAUUAGCUAGUUGGUGAGGUAACGGCUCACCAAGGCGACGAUGCGUAGCCGACCUGAGAGGGUGAUCGGCCACACUGGGACUGAGACACGGCCCAGACUCCUACGGGAGGCAGCAGUAGGGAAUCUUCCGCAAUGGACGAAAGUCUGACGGAGCAACGCCGCGUGAGUGAUGAAGGUUUUCGGAUCGUAAAGCUCUGUUGUUAGGGAAGAACAAGUGCCGUUCAAAUAGGGCGGCACCUUGACGGUACCUAACCAGAAAGCCACGGCUAACUACGUGCCAGCAGCCGCGGUAAUACGUAGGUGGCAAGCGUUGUCCGGA